Capsicum annuum is the source of this 4366-nucleotide long non-coding RNA. RefSeq lists it as uncharacterized. Lineage: Eukaryota; Viridiplantae; Streptophyta; Magnoliopsida; Solanales; Solanaceae. The record is from RefSeq and is a predicted model, not a curated record. The transcript has 2 exons.
CACUUGCAAUAGGGACCUUCUCAGUCGUCACUUGUGUCUCAAGCUCUUGUUGUAUUUGAGUCUUUGUUGUACAGUUUGUAAAUGUUCAACCUACUGCUCUUAUUCAUAGAUUAUAGGUGUGGUCAUAGUAUGUUCUCGUUGUUGGUUGUGUCAGCUAGAAUUAGUUGACAUUGAAGCUAGAGUUAGCUUGGUUUUGAUUCAAUUAGAGUUAGCUGUUGUCCAAUAGAGUUAUUGCAUAAUAGAGUUAUUGCAAGUAGUUGAGGUUUAAGAGGUUAAUUCUUGAACCAUGGAGUCUGUAUUCGAGGUUGCUUGAAGAAAGUGAAGUGGUUGGAAAUCCUAUGAGGUAGGUCGUGGUUUUACGCCCUUGAGCAAGGAGGUUUCCACAUAAAAUAUUAUGUGUAUGUGGUUUUCUUUACGUUGCUUUUGUGUUUAUUCCUGUUUAUUACUGCAUACGUUAGGUAGGGACCAGGUCUUUAAGUUGGUAGUCGAUUUGUAUAGUUCUACAUAAUUGGUAAAAAAAUUAUCAUCACUGGGUAACAAACAAUGAAUGUAUGAUAUGGGUCGUGUCUUCUCUUUUGGUCAUUGUUAAGUUUCGGAAUUAUAACUUUGGACACUUCUAGGGAACUUUUAUAUGAAUCAAUUCUUUCAUUAUUGGCCUUUUUCUGAUACUUGUAUUCUCCAAUGAUCCUAAGUGUUGGUGAAUAUACCACAAAUUACAUUUUAAUUUAAUAUAACAAUGUAUAAACACCAAUACAAAGUAUGUCAAUUCUUUGUCAUGAAGGGCUCUAUACUUAUGCUUUUCUUCCUCAGUUAGUUUUUUUUAACUUUGUGACUUUACCUGUUGACUAUACAAACUGUAACCACAAAUAGAGCACUCUAGCAGUGACGACCCAGAUACCAGGCAGCUAUCAUCUGCUUUGGCUUAACUAGCCUCACGGAUUUAUCCCGUGGGCGACAGCAUCAUUGAGGUCAACGAUGCAGUACCAUGUGAACUUAUGCUUUAUAGGCCUUAUAAAGCUGUUAACUUUCCUAUCUCAUUGUGAUGUAGGAUACACCUAAGGUUUUAUGUGCACUGUUCUUUUAGAAGUUUUGUCUGUCCAGAAGCCUACUUCUAUCUCUUUGAUCCGCCCUUCUUGGCUCACCCUUCAUCAUGAAUGUCACACUAACCACAAUGCUUUUAUGUCCACAUGCAUAAACCGAACAUCAAUGGAAAUUCCUACUGUUAUUUAGGCUUUAAUUAGUGAACACAUGCACUAGAAGUUCUAUAAUGUGUUACAGUUUUGGGAUCUUUUCACCCUAUUCAACUUCGAGUAUUUUUGUACUUCCUUUUCACCCUCUUCAAGUGUUUGAAAGAAUUUUUUUUCAACAAAAGUGACUAGUUUGAAAAGAUUAUUUAUUCUAAAAAUUACAUAAACCCACAUGUUAUGUUUCAUUUAUUACAAAAUAUCCCAUAUCCCCAAACAUAUUACAUUUAUACCACUUUUUUAAUUUCUCUCUCAUAAAUUACAUAUACAUACAAACCCUUUUUUACUUUCACCAAAUCUUCCCCAAAGUACGGCUAAGCCUCCUUUUUACGCUCACUGUUGCUCCCCCAAAAGUACGACUACAAUCAAGCGACAGUUUCCAAGUUUGAAAUCAAUUGUGUAUCUGUCCAACUCCUAGUCAAGGGUAUUCAAUUUCAACUUAAUCUUCUUCAAUUUCAACUGAAUCUUCUUUUAACAUUCUAAAUGUUUAAUUUUUCAGUAUUGUUAGAAAAAAAUUUCAUUACAUAUUUGAAAUUUUAGAGAAUUUUCAAACAAGAUUUUGUUGCAUGUUUUGAUUAACUAAUUUUAUGAAUUUCUACUUUACCAAAUUAUAGUUUAAUUAUCUGUAUUUUUCUUCUUUUUAAAAAAAAUCAUCUAUUUGAAGUAAUAAAGUAGCAACUUAGUACUAAGUUAAUGGAGGAUUCUCCUUCGUUUAGUUUAGGAUUAACUCAGUUAGAUAAUAACGAGACAACAAAUUCGUUAGUUGAUUUCGUUCCCGUAGUAUUUGAUAAUGAGGAACCUAACUUAGAUGAAAACAGAUCAAAAAAUCUUAACGACCCCAUCAAGAUGAAAAAGAUUAUUAAAGCAUCAACUUCAAGGUCAAAAAAAUAAAUUGGAGAACCAUCAAGAAAAUUGAAAAAAAGGACAAUGGUCGGCCUCGUUUACCGAAGGUAUUUCAUCUUUUAUAAUAUUUUUUGUUAUUGGUAUAUUGUGUUUUAUGAAAAUUUUAUUUAAUUGUUUUGAUUAUUUAUUGGGGUUAUGAGGUUAAGUGUGGAAAUUGGAUGUGCAAAUACAAAAUUACUCUGUGUAUAUAUUCUGCAUAUACAUUUUUGUUUAUGCUAUUGGUUUGAAUACCUUGAUAUUUGUAGUUCAUAUACAUAUGUGGUUACUGCUUAUAUCUAUUAGUAAGUAUGUAUAUGUUAUACACAUACAUUAUUCUUUUUAUGUUGUUGAACAUAUACAUAAAUUCUAUUACGUGUGUUUUGUGUACUAUGUUUUGAUGCAUUGAAUAUUUACAUUUGUAUAUGUAAAUCAUAUUUAUAUAUGAGUUGUUUUUUGUUGUGUAUACUAUUUUUGAGGUAUGAAAUAUUACAUCUGUAUAUGUAAAACAUAUACAAAAGAGUUGUAUUUUUUUAUUUUCUUGUGUAUUGUUAUGUACAUAUACAUCUAACAUAUGUAUAUUUAGUAGAUAUACAUAUGUUAUCAUGUGUUUAAGGUUAUGAAUAGUACCUACGUAUAUUUCUAACACAUACAUGUCAUGUAUAUAUUGUUAUAUGUGUAAUUAAAUACCUUGUUUCUAUUCAUCAUUUUUUAUGUAUUGACCAUAUAUUCGUUCAUGGGUUAGAUGUUGUUAGAUGCGUAAUGAAAUGACUAGUUGUUGUGUACAGUAUAUGUUUUGACCAUAUAGGCUCACAUUUUAUGUGUUCUUCAUUUCCAAUAAGGUAUCAAAUAGCGGAUAAAAAAUGUUCCUGUGCAUUUUUUGCAUUUUGAUAGUUAUUACAACCGCAUAUUUGGUUCAGAUAUAAAGAAUUGUGCUGGUGAAGAAGCUUACAAUCUUUUUCGUCAAACAAUCUUUGGGUUCUUUCUAGACAUGCCUUAGUAUAAUUUUUAGGAUCAGAUUUCCAAAUGUAUACUUAUGCUUGAGUUAGAUUAAGGAAAUUCGGAUGAAAUUCACGUUUACAUGUAGGGAACCAUUCUGAAGUUUACUAUUUCUGAGUUUGCUCUAAUAUCUGGACUUAAAUAUACUGGGAACAUUGAGGAACACCUAUAUACUCAUUCAUCUAAGUCUGUACUAAUGGUGAAGUAUUUCCCAAGUUUGAAAAAUAGUGUCAAAAAGUGUAUUUUUGUACAGCGAUUCCAGGCAGAAAAUUUCGACAACAACACCGAUGCUUUGAGCAUGUACAUCCUAUACUUUAUUCAUACCUUUUUGUUUUCACAAAUACGUGAUGCUACUAUUAGCAGAUCGGACUUUGUGAUGGUGGAGGAUGGCAGGUAUGAACAAUUUCCAUAGGGAAAGGCUUCUUUUCAAAAGUUGAUUGCAAAAUGGAGACAAAAUUUUUUUGUUGAAAAACAGCUAUACUCUAUUGGGGGAAUACCUCAUGUGUUAAGUGUUUUGAUGUAUGAAUGUUAUUCUAAGGUAGACAAUACUAUAGAUGAGUGUAUCGGUAAUGUGAUUCCAAGUAUUUUUAACUGGAAGAUAGUUGGGAUUAAGGUCAAGUAUGAGAAGUUCAUGGCUGGUAUGUUCAGCAAGUUUGUGUAUACUAAUUUAUGGUCAACUCAUGAAGAAGUACAAAGGCUUGAUUUGCCAAUAAUCGAUGGCGUUGAAUUAAAUAAUGAUGAAUCUGCCUUCUCACAUGAUACUUAUCUAGAUCAUUGUGGUAAAAGACACGUUGUCGAUAUACAUACUCAAUUGGACAUGAACCAUUAAGGUUUUAAGGAUUUCAGUACUGUCCCACCACCUGAAAUCCUAAGAAAGGUAGGUCUGUGUACUGAUGCAUCAGCAUCUCAACCUACGAAGAAGAGGAGGACAGUCCGAUUUGAUACUACAACUGUUCCUAUGCAAGAUAGCGAGAAAAUGCCAUCGUCUAUUUUAGGAAAAAAUAUGCCAAUAAAUCAUUUACGAACUUUUGAUUCAGAGAUGUUGAUGCACCAACGCUAACUCCAUCAUCAUCCAGAAAGUCAGGUCAUCAGGAUAGUUCUGACCAAAAGUGGAAUGAGUUGAAGUUCUUCUUAAAGUCUUAUAUAAGUUUUUGCAUAUAAUAAACACUAUAUAUAAUUAAAUUGUAGAAACAUUACCAAAUUUGUUGUCUUUUUAUUUGCAGAUUGACCAAAAAUUCACCUUC